GUGCCAGCCGCCGCGGUAAUACCGGCAGCCCGAGUGAUGGCCGAUCUUAUUGGGCCUAAAGCGUCCGUAGCUGGCUGCGCAAGUCCGUCGGGAAAUCCACUCGCCCAACGAGUGGGCGUCCGACGGAAACUGCACAGCUUGGGACCGGAAGAUCCGAGGGGUACGUCCGGGGUAGGAGUGAAAUCCCGUAAUCCUGGACGGACCGCCGGUGGCGAAAGCACUUCGAGAAAACGGAUCCGACAGUGAGGGACGAAAGCCAGGGUCUCCAACCGGAUUAGAUACCCCUGUAGUCC
This 293-nucleotide ribosomal RNA is filed under the name uncultured bacterium. RNAcentral's name for it is "partial 16S ribosomal RNA". It matches the Rfam family "Archaeal small subunit ribosomal RNA", at positions 455 to 747 of the family's 1478-position model. The record is from RNAcentral.